UUUGAAAUCUGGCGUCUUUGGCGUCCGAGUUGUAAUUUGAAGAAGGUAUCUUUGGGCCCGGCUCUUGUCUAUGUUCCUUGGAACAGGACGUCACAGAGGGUGAGAAUCCCGUGCGAUGAGAUGACCCGGGUCUGUGUAAAGUUCCUUUGACGAGUCGAGUUGUUUGGGAAUGCAGCUCUAAGUGGGUGGUAAAUUCCAUCUAAAGCUAAAUAUUGGCGAGAGACCGAUAGCGAACAAGUACAGUGAUGGAAAGAUGAAAAGAACUUUGAAAAGAGAGUGAAAAAGUACGUGAAAUUGUUGAAAGGGAAGGGCUUGAGAUCAGACUUGGUAUUUUGCAUGCUGCUCUCUCGGGGGCGGCCGCUGCGGUUUACCGGGCCAGCAUCGGUUUGGAGCGGCAGGAUAAUGGCGGAGGAAUGUGGCACGGCUUCUGCUGUGUGUUAUAGCCUCUGACGAUACUGCCAGCCUAGACCGAGGACUGCGGUUUUUACCUAGGAUGUUGGCAUAAUGAUCUUAAGUCGCCCGUCUUGAAACACGGACCAAGGAGUCUAACGUCUAUGCGAGUGUUUGGGUGUAAAACCCGUACGCGUAAUGAAAGUGAACGAAGGUGGGGGCCCAUUAGGGUGCACCAUCGACCGAUCCUGAUGUGUUCGGAUGGAUUUGAGUAAGAGCAUAGCUGUUGGGACCCGAAAGAUGGUGAACUAUGCCUGAAUAGGGUGAAGCCAGAGGAAACUCUGGUGGAGGCUCGUAGCGGUUCUGACGU
Molecule: ribosomal RNA, 760 nt
Filed under: Candida albicans
Lineage: Eukaryota; Fungi; Ascomycota; Pichiomycetes; Serinales; Debaryomycetaceae
Description: eukaryotic LSU rRNA
Rfam family: Eukaryotic large subunit ribosomal RNA
Source: RNAcentral